AAGGAGCUUGCUCCUUUGACGUUAGCGGCGGACGGGUGAGUAACACGUGGGUAACCUACCUAUAAGACUGGGAUAACUUCGGGAAACCGGAGCUAAUACCGGAUAAUAUUUCGAACCGCAUGGUUCGAUAGUGAAAGAUGGUUUUGCUAUCACUUAUAGAUGGACCCGCGCCGUAUUAGCUAGUUGGUAAGGUAACGGCUUACCAAGGCGACGAUACGUAGCCGACCUGAGAGGGUGAUCGGCCACACUGGAACUGAGACACGGUCCAGACUCCUACGGGAGGCAGCAGUAGGGAAUCUUCCGCAAUGGGCGAAAGCCUGACGGAGCAACGCCGCGUGAGUGAUGAAGGUCUUCGGAUYGUAAAACUCUGUUAUUAGGGAAGAACAUACGUGUAAGUAACUGUGCACGUCUUGACGGUACCUAAUCAGAAAGCCACGGCUAACUACGUGCCAGCAGCCGCGGUAAUACGUAGGUGGCAAGCGUUAUCCGGAAUUAUUGGGCGUAAAGCGCGCGUAGGCGGUUUUUUAAGUCUGAUGUGAAAGCCCACGGCUCAACCGUGGAGGGUCAUUGGAAACUGGAAAACUUGAGUGCAGAAGAGGAAAGUGGAAUUCCAUGUGUAGCGGUGAAAUGCGCAGAGAUAUGGAGGAACACCAGUGGCGAAGGCGACUUUCUGGUCUGUAACUGACGCUGAUGUGCGAAAGCGUGGGGAUCAAACAGGAUUAGAUACCCUGGUAGUCCACGC
Molecule: ribosomal RNA, 742 nt
Filed under: Staphylococcus haemolyticus
Lineage: Bacteria; Bacillati; Bacillota; Bacilli; Caryophanales; Staphylococcaceae
Description: bacterial SSU rRNA
Rfam family: Bacterial small subunit ribosomal RNA
Source: RNAcentral